GGGUUCAGUGGAAGAAUUCCAAGGCCAAGAACGAAGCGUCAUCCUCAUCUCCACCGUGCGAAGCAGUCAGAGCUUUGUGCAGCUGGAUCUGGACUUUAAUCUGGGUUUCCUUAAGAACCCCAAGAGGUUCAAUGUAGCUGUGACCCGGGCCAAGGCCCUGCUCAUCAUCGUGGGGAACCCCCUUCUCCUGGGCCAUGACCCUGACUGGAAAGUAUUCCUGGAGUUCUGUAAAGAAAACGGAGGGUAUACCGGGUGUCCCUUCCCUGCCAAACUGGACCUGCAACAGGGACAGAAUUUACUGCAAGGUCUGAGCAAGCUCAGCCCCUCUACCUCAGGUAUGGCUGGGCCAGGGUGGGCCAGGUUGGGGACAGUGCCAGAGGAGGUGGUAAGGAAGACAAAGUGUACUUUCUUUCUUUCCAGGGCCCCAUAGUCAUGACUACCUCCCCCAGGAGCGGGAGGGUGAAGGGGGCCUGUCUCUGCAAGUGGAGCCAGAGUGGAGGAAUGAGCUCUGAAGACACAGCACCCAGCCUUCUCGCACCAGCCAAGCCUUAACUGCCUGCGUGACCCUGAACCAGAACCCAGCUGAGCCGCCCCUCCAAGGGACAGGAAGGCUGGGGGAGGGAGUUUACAACCCAAGCCAUUCCACCCCCUCCCCUGCUGGGGAGAAUGACACAUCAAGCUGCUAACAAUUGGGGGAAAGGGGAGGAAGAAAACUCUGAAAACAAAAUCU
Molecule: small RNA, 730 nt
Filed under: Pongo abelii (Sumatran orangutan)
Lineage: Eukaryota; Metazoa; Chordata; Mammalia; Primates; Hominidae
Description: processed transcript
Source: RNAcentral